UACCCUUGACAUCCUCGGAAUCUGCCGGAGACGGCGGAGUGCCUUCGGGAGCCGAGUGACAGGUGCUGCAUGGCUGUCGUCAGCUCGUGUUGUGAAAUGUUGGGUUAAGUCCCGUAACGAGCGCAACCCCUGUCCCUAUUUGCCAGCGAUUCGGUCGGGAACUCUAGGGAGACUGCCGGUGACAAACCGGAGGAAGGUGGGGAUGACGUCCUUGCUAGGUAA
Molecule: unclassified non-coding RNA, 222 nt
Filed under: uncultured Halomonadaceae bacterium
Lineage: Bacteria; Pseudomonadati; Pseudomonadota; Gammaproteobacteria; Oceanospirillales; Halomonadaceae
Description: contains 16S-23S intergenic spacer region
Rfam family: Bacterial small subunit ribosomal RNA
Source: RNAcentral